This 253-nucleotide ribosomal RNA is filed under the name uncultured bacterium. RNAcentral's name for it is "partial 16S ribosomal RNA". It matches the Rfam family "Bacterial small subunit ribosomal RNA", at positions 524 to 776 of the family's 1533-position model. The record is from RNAcentral.
UACGGGGGGUGCGAGCGUUAAUCGGAAUAACUGGGCGUAAAGGGCACGCAGGCGGUCUGUUAAGUGAGGUGUGAAAUCCCCGGGCUUAACCUGGGAAUUGCAUUUGAUACUGGGAGACUAGAGUAUUGUAGGGGGGGGUAGAAUUCCAGGUGUAGCGGUGAAAUGCGUAGAGAUGUGGAGGAAUACCGAAGGCGAAGGCAGCCCCUUGGGAAUGUACUGACGCUCAGGUGCGAAAGCGUGGGGAGCAAACAGG